UGCUGAUUCUAAGUUGCCACAUUUUCUUUUGAGAGCUACAAUUUUUGCAUACGGGCAGACUAGUAGUGGUAAGACAUUUACCAUGAGAGGAAUCACCGAAAAUGCAGUGAGGGACAUCUUCAAACACAUGAAGAAUGUACGUCAUAGUUCAUACCAUGACCAUAUAGCCUUUGGAAUCCUCUCGUAGACGCCAGAAAGGGAUUUUUGUUUUGAAAUUUUCUGCUUUGGAGAACUACAAUGAAACUGUUGUUGAUCUUCUGAAACGCAAAUCUGGCUCACUUUGGCUUUUGGAUGACUCUGAGAAGGGCACCAUAGUUGACAAGCCACAGGAAGAAAUUGUUGAGAAGUUGGCGAACAUUUGAGGCACUUAAUUGGAAUUUGUGAAGCUCAAAGGCAAGUGGGAGAAACUGCCCUAAAUGAUAAAAGCUCAAGAUCACAUCAGAUAAUAAGGCUGACCAUAGAAAAUAGCCUCCGGGAGAGUUCAAGGUCUGUGAAGGCUUU
This is a non-coding RNA of Malus domestica (apple), 501 nucleotides long. The record is from RefSeq and is a predicted model, not a curated record. Lineage: Eukaryota; Viridiplantae; Streptophyta; Magnoliopsida; Rosales; Rosaceae.